Long non-coding RNA from Mustela erminea (ermine), 260 nucleotides. RefSeq lists it as uncharacterized. Lineage: Eukaryota; Metazoa; Chordata; Mammalia; Carnivora; Mustelidae. The record is from RefSeq and is a predicted model, not a curated record. The transcript has 3 exons.
UGAAGACAAAGGCUAAUUCUGAAAACAAAUGGUAUUAAGUACCUCCACAUUGAAGGAAGGAAUAUUUAGAGGUUCAGAAGAGGAAGCAGAGACUUCAAAUCCAAAGAAGCUAGGAACCCUCAAUCCCAAGGGAGAAAACAGAGCUAAAACACUAACAGGAAGAAGCAGAGAGAGCGCCCUCACUGGAACCCAACUGUGCUGGCACCCUGAUGUCAUACUUCCCAGCCUUGAGAACUGAGAGAAAUAAAGGUCUUUUUUUU